This 187-nucleotide ribosomal RNA is filed under the name uncultured bacterium. Its description in RNAcentral is "partial 16S ribosomal RNA". It matches the Rfam family "Bacterial small subunit ribosomal RNA", at positions 335 to 524 of the family's 1533-position model. The record is from RNAcentral.
ACUCCUACGGAAGGCAGCAGUAAGGAAUAUUGCGCAAUGGGCGAAAGCCUGACGCAGCGACGCCGCGUGGGGGAUGAAGGUCUUCGGAUUGUAAACCCCUUUCGGGAGGGAAGAUGGAGCGAGCAAUCGUUCGGACGGUACCUGAAGAAUAAGCACCGGCUAACUACGUGCCAGCAGCCGCGGUAAU